UUGUAUUUUUAGAAGAAUAUACAUUGAACAUGUUUUUACAUAAAUUUUACAAUUUUACAUACAAAUUGAACAUUUUUCUCCCGUUGCAACGCACGGGUCUUUUUGCUAGUAUGUUCAAAAAGGAGAAAAAAAUCCCAACAUCCGGGCAUUAACUUCCCGCAACUCCCGCAUCUAACCUCUUCCUAAUUUCUCGCCCCACAUGCCUCCCGAUUCCAUUCGCCGCCAACAGCACGCACAGGCCCAAGCUCGCCUCGCCCAGAUCCCUUCCACCACCCCCGCCUCCAUCGCCCAUCGUCGUUGUGUAUCGUGGACACCUCAUCGGUCAGUCCUCUUCCUCUACUCCCCACCACAUCGUCUGUUCAUUGAUCUACCGAGCUGCUAAUUCUGCAUGACAAUCAUGGCCGUGAUCUGCCGAGGUGCUAAUUCUCCACGACACCACGACCAUGAUCCGCCAAGGCCGAUGUGAGCGGGCACCAACAAUCGUGAGCAAGAAGUUUGAUGGCCGUUCCCUUUGGCAUGUAGGUGGCCGUGAUGCCCAUCCCAGCAGGGAGGAUGGAUAGGCAUCGGGCAAUCACCAAGUGACAGGAUAAUGCUCCCUUCUCCUGGAGUGCCAUCCCUUCUCGACAGCGACCAGAGCACGCCCGGCCGGUUGCACAUCGGCUUCACGUCCUCGCGCCGCUCCAUGCAUGCCAAUCCUUCUUAGUGCCGCUAACCAUGGCGAUAAAGGAAGCAUGCCUACCAUGCACUUCCAGCAUUGGCAGGACGCACGUCCGACAUCAAAUAGAAGCACGAUUACAAUCGCAACGAAGCACGACCAACUUCUCCAUACCAAGUUCCCUAAUGUUGAGUUCCCAUAUUUUUCAUGCAUAUAAUUAUAUGGUGAUGAAUUUUUGCCUUAACCGAGUUCCCAUAACAUGUUUUUACUCUAGUGUGUCUUUUAUGUAUGUUGUGAGAAAAUGAAGAUAUUACAUCCUAGCAACCAUGCUUCAUAGAUUAUUGCAUAUGAUUCUAUGGUGAUGAAUUUUUGCUUCCACCAUUGUAAGUGUGUGCUACUCUGACUGUACAUUUUUUUUGCUUCAACCAUUAUCCGAUACUAGUGUCUCUUCAACCACUACUACUCUCUGCUUCAACCAUUUGCUUUUGUUCAUGAAUUUCAUUAUACAACCAUAUUGCUUUAUUUAGUGGAUUUUUGUACAAGCUACUAAAUUUUGUGCUUCCUUCUUUCUCACUGAAUGCUUCAGUUGUACAGAUUCCCAAUAAUGAUGCAAUGUGUGUUGAUUACUAGACCAACCGGGCUCUAAGUUGUCGGUUCUACGACGAGCGAUGCAGAGCUCAUGGCAAACACAGACAUUGUCAUGAUCGGAUUGCCGCCCUCCGCUAUGACGACUACAACAAAAUGAAAUUAUUGUUGUAAUAGUAUUUUACUAUUGUUGUAAAUGAAUUUGUAAAUUUGUGUUCACAAAGUAUUAGUCUGUUUCAAUGUAUCAUCAUACAUGUCCUGCUGCCACAUGGUUUGUGAAGCAGAAAAAAUCUGUAUACGAAAAGAUCGUUUCGUUUGCAAUUUUAUUACUA
Molecule: long non-coding RNA, 1572 nt
Organism: Triticum dicoccoides
Lineage: Eukaryota; Viridiplantae; Streptophyta; Magnoliopsida; Poales; Poaceae
Exons: 3
Source: RefSeq, a predicted model, not a curated record